AAGCCAUGAUGAGAGUAUUGAAAUUUGUAGCGGUUUAUCCCUUCCCAUGCUUCACAUAAGCUAUUUCCUUUUUGAGUGAAGCUUGAUAUUUUGUUUUAUAACCU
Capsella rubella is the source of this 104-nucleotide small nucleolar RNA. It matches the Rfam family "Plant small nucleolar RNA R71". From Rfam's summary of the family: R71 is a member of the C/D box family of snoRNAs containing the C (UGAUGA) and D (CUGA) box motifs. Multiple nearly identical copies of this snoRNA have been identified in Arabidopsis, and it is thought to function as a 2'-O-ribose methylation guide for 18S ribosomal RNA. Lineage: Eukaryota; Viridiplantae; Streptophyta; Magnoliopsida; Brassicales; Brassicaceae. The record is from Rfam.